Molecule: ribosomal RNA, 550 nt
Filed under: uncultured Burkholderia sp.
Lineage: Bacteria; Pseudomonadati; Pseudomonadota; Betaproteobacteria; Burkholderiales; Burkholderiaceae
Description: bacterial SSU rRNA
Rfam family: Bacterial small subunit ribosomal RNA
Source: RNAcentral
CCCCUCCCGGGAGGCAGCAGUGGGGAAUUUUGGACAAUGGGGGAAACCCUGAUCCAGCAAUGCCGCGUGUGUGAAGAAGGCCUUCGGGUUGUAAAGCACUUUUGUCCGGAAAGAAAUCCUCCUCUUUAAUACCGGGAGAGGAUGACGGUACCGGAAGAAUAAGCCCCGGCUAACUACGUGCCAGCAGCCGCGGUAAUACGUAGGGUGCAAGCGUUAACCCCCCCCUCCUGGGCGUAAAGCGUGCGCAGGCGGUUCGUUAAGACAGAUGUGAAAUCCCCGGGCUUAACCUGGGAACUGCAUUUGUGACUGGCGGGCUAGAGUAUGGCAGAGGGGGGUAGAAUUCCACGUGUAGCAGUGAAAUGCGUAGAGAUGUGGAGGAACACCGAUGGCGAAGGCAGCCCCCUGGCCCAAUACUGACGCUCAUGCACGAAAGCGUGGGGAGCAAACAGGAUUAGAUACCCUGGUAGUCCACGCCGUAAACUAUGCCCUUUUUGGGAUUAUUCCUUUUACAUUCCUCCCUUAUAAGUUACCGCCGGGAGUCGUCGCAGAU